CAGAAAGGCCCGUGCCUCAGUGCUUACGCAGCUACGGGUUUAUUUUCGGCACUGUCAGACAAGCAGCCAUCUCUGCUGUUUUGCAUUUAUCUGGUUCAGUACGUCAACAGUGUCUCUGAUCAAGGUCUCGAAGAUCCCAUCUGCCAACUGCAUCUUUACACACAGUUCAUCCUCAUCAUAGUUCACCCACUGGGCUUCCUCCUCGUGGAGUUCCUGCACCAAUAUGUGAUCCACUCUGUCUCGUUUCUUCCGCCCAAAUUUCAUCAUCUUCUGCCAGUCUGUUUUGUUAUUAGACUCUUUCUUUAGACUGAAAAGCUUCAGUACUUCAGCUGCAAUGAAGUUCUUGAUCUCAUCCAAAUCAUUUGGAUCCUUCACUCGGCGAAAAUAAGCAGAUGCAAUCCUACAUGGCUUCAUCCAAAU
Molecule: long non-coding RNA, 420 nt
Filed under: Gallus gallus (chicken)
Lineage: Eukaryota; Metazoa; Chordata; Aves; Galliformes; Phasianidae
Source: RNAcentral